CCCUUAGAUGUUCUGGGCCGCACGCGCGCUACACUGACGAAUGCAACGAGCUUAUAACCUUGGCCGAAAGGUCUGGGUAAUCUCCAAAUUUCGUCGUGAUGGGGAUAGAUUAUUGCAAUUAUUAAUCUUCAACGAGGAAUGCCUAGUAAGCGCAAGUCAUCAGCUUGCGUUGAUUACGUCCCUGCCCUUUGUACACACCGCCCGUCGCCCCUACCGAUUGAAUGGUCCGGUGAAGCGCUCGGACCGCGGCCUCUUGACGGUUCGCUGUCGAUUGGCUGUGGGAAGUUCGUUAAACCUUAUCAUUUAGAGGAAGGAGAAGUCGUAACA
This 327-nucleotide ribosomal RNA is filed under the name uncultured eukaryote. RNAcentral describes it as "partial 18S ribosomal RNA". It matches the Rfam family "Eukaryotic small subunit ribosomal RNA", at positions 1470 to 1796 of the family's 1831-position model. The record is from RNAcentral.